Molecule: ribosomal RNA, 472 nt
Filed under: uncultured organism
Description: partial 16S ribosomal RNA
Rfam family: Bacterial small subunit ribosomal RNA
Source: RNAcentral
CACUCCUACGGGAGGCAGCAGUGGGGAAUUUUGGACAAUGGGCGAAAGCCUGAUCCAGCAAUGCCGCGUGAGUGAAGAAGGCCUUCGGGUUGUAAAGCUCUUUUGUCAGGGAAGAAACGGUGAAAGCUAAUAUCUUUUGCUAAUGACGGUACCUGAAGAAUAAGCACCGGCUAACUACGUGCCAGCAGCCGCGGUAAUACGUAGGGUGCAAGCGUUAAUCGGAAUUACUGGGCGUAAAGCGUGCGCAGGCGGUUUUGUAAGUCUGAUGUGAAAUCCCCGGGCUCAACCUGGGAAUUGCAUUGGAGACUGCAAGGCUAGAAUCUGGCAGAGGGGGGUAGAAUUCCACGUGUAGCAGUGAAAUGCGUAGAUAUGUGGAGGUACACCGAUGGCGAAGGCAGCCCCCUGGGUCAAGAUUGACGCUCAUGCACGAAAGCGUGGGGAGCAAACAGGAUUAGAAACCCUAGUAGUCCCA